Molecule: transfer RNA, 72 nt
Filed under: Candidatus Jacksonbacteria bacterium
Lineage: Bacteria; Candidatus Jacksoniibacteriota
Description: tRNA-Gln
Rfam family: tRNA
About the family: Transfer RNA (tRNA) molecules are approximately 80 nucleotides in length. Their secondary structure includes four short double-helical elements and three loops (D, anti-codon, and T loops).
Source: RNAcentral
UCGGGGAUCGUCUAGCUGGUAGGACGUCAGGUUCUGGUCCUGAAAACCGGGGUUCGAAUCCCUGUCCCCGAG